GCGGGUUUAGCUCAGUUGGGAGAGCGUCAGACUGAAGUUUAACUUCAAUCCAUCUAUCUGAAGGUCAUGUGUUCGAUCCACAUAAACCGCA
This is a non-coding RNA of Apodospora peruviana, 91 nucleotides long. The record is from the annotation of a GenBank genome assembly. NCBI's taxonomy places the organism in Eukaryota, Fungi, Ascomycota, Sordariomycetes, Sordariales, Lasiosphaeriaceae.